RNAcentral lists this long non-coding RNA (14050 nucleotides) under Gallus gallus (chicken). The record is from RNAcentral. Lineage: Eukaryota; Metazoa; Chordata; Aves; Galliformes; Phasianidae.
AUUUCUUCUCGAGCAAGGGAGAUAAAGAUUAUGUUUCUAAGUAGCAAAUGUAAAGAAAUAAGGUAAAAUUGAUUCUCCGGCUUCUGUAGUUUCCCCCUUUGUAAAGGCUACAGGUGUACUUGUGAUUGCAUGUGACAGUUUUAUGGGUUUAUGUGGCUAAAUAUAUCUCAGUGCGCAGGAAAUAUUUUUCUAAGCAAGUUUUCUGGUGUCCAGAAUAAUGCACAAACCCGUCUGUAUUUUCCCACCGUCGAGAGGAGGUGGAGCCCACGAGUGCCUUUUUCAUUGCAGUAAUUACUAUUCAGCAUUCAGUAAUUUCUGUGCACAUGAAAAAGUACAGAGGAAGUCAGACUGAGAAAUUUUUGCUUUAAAGCUUUCUCUUUCUGACCACGAGCUUAAGUAGACAAAACACAUGGAAACGUUAGCCGUUGUUACAUAACUUUCUCGAUUCUCUAAUCUUUAUAGUUUUCUUUACAAGUCUGCCAUCCUGCAAACAUAAUGACAUUCAGUUAAUCUUCAGACCUCGUAUUUAUCUCAUGGCUGCGCGUGCUGAUGUCAUUGGCUAUCUUGGCUGUAUUUACUUUUCUUUUAACCUUGGGAGGGCAACGCUUAGGAUUGCAGAUGAAUUUAAUAACAAUAUCCCCCGUAAAUGGGAGGCGGUUGCUCUCAGUAAGGGAAGGCAGUGAGCUGCCUCCCCUGCCUGGGAAGUUCUUGAAGCUUGUUUGUUUUAUUUCCUUGUCGCACACGGCGUUAAGCCCAGCAUUGUGCUUUGCCCGUGUAGCAGCAACAGUGAUCCCGCACCACAAAAAGUGAUAAAACAAAGUGUAGCAGAGCACUGAUUCUGACUUCUGCACAGUUUUGCUCCUUAAGCGAAGGGCCGUCUCGCAAAGCCGGGUAGAACAGGUCAUUGCUGCAGUGCUCGGGCAGCCUCCUGAGCGUAUGUUCUCCUGGAUACGCGUUGCAGUAGUGCUGGUGACUAUCACGUGUAGGAUCCUUUUAAUAAUUAAUUAAAUGCCUACAGGAAAUGCCACAGUUUAUUUUAUUUAGGACUUUGAAAAACUCGUGCUACUUUGAGAUAGGAAAGGGAAGGAAAAUAUUAUGUUUUCCAGAGUAAUGGAGACUGUGUUUGAAGCUACUUUACUUCAUGCUGUGAGGACAGAGACAGAAAGGUAAACAAGCCAGCACUAUUUAUUUUCUUCUCCUCUCCGCUCUGCUGGGGACUUGAAGUGCAGGACGCGGCAUGGCGGAGCGCAGGCCCAUGGCCUGCAAAGCCUUUGGGCCAGGCUGGCAGCCCCAUGCCUUCCCCCCAGCAAAUGUGGGGUCUGCAAGGACAGGGCAACUUCCCCAGCCUGCCGCAUUGUGCCGUGCUGUGCUGUGCUGCGUUCCUUAAUUUCACUGAGGGAGAUCCCAUGAGGUAGCGGGUGCCAAGGGGCUCUCACUGAAAUGGUUGCACGUAGGUUUUGCAACAUACAGAUUUCAGCUGUCUGUGCGGUUGUUUCUAUUUGCCUGAUGCUUUUUUAGACAUAUUAAGGGGGAAAUUUAUGAAUAAAACCAACUUUUUGUGUAGCCUAUCCUUUUCAAAUGGCUUUCUGUUCUCACAAAACUCAGAAGUUACAGUAUUUCCUUUCAUAAGUAAUUCUUCAAGUAUGGUACACAGCGUAUAUAGAACAUUGAUCACUAUCUUUGAAAGCCAAGGAAUUUUAUUUUAUCCUUUGCCCACACUUCAAAAUAAUGCUAGCAUAGUCAAAAAGGUUACAUAGGUUACAUAGUAAAUAAAAACCCAUUAGUUAUUAGUAAUAAUCAAAAGAUGUUGCUUUCUUUCCCUUCUUUUUCUUUCCUCCAGCUCAUCUGUCAUCUUUCUAAGGUAAAACUGUUGAAUAAGGAAGGAGGGAAUGCAAUAAUGUAUUGCUAAAUAUACCACGUUAUAAGAAAAAACGACAACGACAAACAUUGGUAAAUCAGAGCUGGGUGACCGCUUUGAAAAUGGCAUUUCACUCCAGAGGUCUAACCACAGUAUUUAAUAACAGAUGCCAUGAUGAGGUCAGAUCACUGGUUAUUUUAUUGCAGCACCAUUUUAUUUAUUUACAUUAGUAAUGGGGGUGGAGAGGAGGGAUGAGGACAUGUGAAAACAGCCUUGAUGAUCAGAAUCUGCAUCAUUAAUAAAUUGAAAGAAUUUCUUAGUGCACUACAGUAGUCUGGCCCCAUCAUUAUAAAGAUGAGGCUGAGCUGAGGGCUGAGGACCGGUGGGUCUGUGAGCCCGGCUGACCGAGCGGAGUGCAGGAUGAGAACAGAACUGUCAGCUGAUGUACCUGUCAGGUCAGCCUGCUGGAUUCCUGGUUUGCUUUUCUUGCUCGUACCUGCUUGGCUCCAUGGGCCUGGGAGAAUGCCUUUUGACCCAAAAAUUAUUGUUUGUAGAUAAAGCUUUCGGUCUUCAAAUCUUAUUCCUCACAUUCAUUAUCCACUUUGCACGCUGUCCCCAAACAAACUGUAAGACACUGUAGUGCUCUGUUUUUUCAUUCCUGAUAGCAUAGGCUGUUGUGAUUAAGCAACCAUAAUACAAGAUGCCAAUAAGAAAUCUCUGUUAGAACUCCAUGAAAAUAACAUUAUUUUUGUUACUUUUCCUGAAGUUUUUUUCUCGUCCACUCCAACUAGUUGUAAAUGUGUGGUGCUUUUCGCUUCGGGGCUGUGCAUUGCAGCCUUCUGAUCUACUGCUUCUAUAAAUGUAGUGGGUAUUUCUUGCUUGCUUUGAUUAUAUUCCAAAAUUAAAAGUACAUGGAAUGUGCACUUAUUCUUUCAUAGUGGUUGUGAUUCUUCUUUGCCGUAAGUGGUUUCAACGUUAAUGCAAAUUAAUUUCAGUUUAUUUUUACAAAGAGAAUGAAAUGGAUGGUGAUGAACAACCAGCUUUAAUAGCAGAGAACCUUGUUUUCCUUGGGCUGCGGGAUGCCAGCACAGUUGUGACAGGCCUGUGGAGUGAUUUAUGUCCUACAAAAGAGCGAAAUAACAGUUUGACAUCUUCCUCUAGUAGGCUACGAGGAAAAUCCAAGCUUCACUGCAGUCGGUGAUAAAAUUCUGAUUUAUUUCAAUUGAGUCAUAAUAUGCCCCCUUAGAACUCUUCAUUUUUUUCCAGAAUGUGAUCUCUGUUGUUGAAGGAGCCGUGGCCAACUCGCAGGGUUUUGCCUGUAAUGCUGGGGAGGCCAAAGGUGUGUCUAUGGACUAAAGAGUAAACGAGGCACCCCUGAAGAUAAGUUUGGAGGGAUGAGGUGGAAUAUCACAGCCAUCAGGGCUCUUGACCCUCCAAUUGUCUGAAACGGAGGGCAGGGUCGUUCUGCAGUUGUGUUGCACUUUUUCCCCAAACUACUACAAGCUUCCAUAACAGACAAGCCACUAAAUAAAUUUUAGUCUCUUUCAUUUGACUCAUGCAGCUGUUCUUAUGUAGGUUUUAUUUGGACACAGGCUGCAUUCCUUUAUGUAUACUUGUGGAUAUGAAGCUUGUGUCCACAAGGUUUUGCUUCUUACAGCUCCUUACAGCUGACUAUCAGAAGCAAGUAGGUUUUUAUGACUUAUGUUUUCUUAAAUGCUUAAAGAUGACAGUUAAAUUUUCCUCUUCUGUUCUUGUUGGUUGCUGUAUUUCACUGAAACAAAUAGAAAUAUACAAAUGAAGUCUGAUAUAGACAUGAAAUUUGAAGUCAUUAGUAAUAGUUGUUCAUGAUCACAGAUCAGUGGUUAACUUAUACGUCUAUUGAGAACAUAUCCACUUAAGGUGUGCAGACUGCUGUUGAAAGUUAAACUUUUUAUCAAGUUUUAUUUUUAAUCUAAAACUUAAUAAGUGUUCACAAGACACUUCUAUGUGGCUCUGACAUCACUUAGUCUAUUAGUUUGGAUCCCUGAGCUCAAUAACAAUGGGCAUAGUUAGUGCUCUCAAUGUAUUGACAAGAGUUGAAUGUACAUCUAUGCUAAAAAAAGAAAAUGUACUUCUGCACGUUGGCAGUUGAUAGAAGUACAUGCACUCAAAUACUGCAUAUGCAAUCAACUUAGCAUGCACUUUUAAAGUACAUAUUAACACGAUUGUUCUUUAAAUAAUUUAGAUUAAAAAAAAAAAAGAAUUCAAACUCUUAUGCUGCUGCUCCAAUGUAAGUGGAGGAUUCUGCUGUAGGUGGGAUUUGGGAAGCCCCUGCUGAAGGAGCUACCCACCCACACAGAUACAGGGUGUGUUGCUGAAGCCAGACUGCUGCAUCCCAUGGCAGUGCCAACUGGGACUGCUCCUAUUACCAGAGCACUGCCUGGGAUCAGGGCUGAGCUCUGAACCUCAUAUGGGCUCCAGCUGCAUUGCUCCACUGGCAAAGGGCAACACCUAACUGUAGGAGGGCUGAGGUGAGAAGGGACCUCUGUGUCCAACUGGUCCAACACUGGCUCAAGCAGGGACACCCAGAGCAGGGGGCCCAGGCCCAUGUUCAGACACAAAGUCAAAUUCACCUCAUAGGCAGCUGUUUUUACAUCUAUGGCUAUUUGUGCAGCUGAGGACAAGAAUAUAUUUGAAUUGAAUAUGGAUGCAUUUGACUUUGGUCAGCUGUUAAUUUCAUAGGUUCUUAUACAUUGUGCAACUAAAUGCAUGCUUAUGAGAGCAUCUCAAUAAAUAUUUUAGAAAGAAGUGUGUGAGUACAUGGAUGUACCUUGUAGGAAUGCACAGAGUGAGUUAUUCACUAAUCAUGUUAACAUCAAAAUAUGUAUAACUACUUUAGGAAACGUUUUUAGUUACGCUUCCUGCAAAGCUGAUUUUUAAUGAAAUGAUUGGUAUUUAGCACCUUGGCAUUCAGGCCAAGAAUGACCUGAAGUUUCAUUGUGCUUCCUAGUAGCAAGUGGUGGGGUAGCAAACUCAAAGCAAACUCUACUGCUGCAGCUAAGUGCAAGUCAGAGCCAUGAAUUUAAUUUUUGAUUAGGCAUAAGAGGUUAUGCAUAGAUCUGGACUUCUUAAACUGCAGUGAAAAUUUCAGUAAGCUUAAGUAUUUUCAGUAAAGAAUGAACUCUGGGACUGAUGGAACAUGAUUUUGAUGACCAGAUUAGAGCCGUGAAUGGUGGGCUGCAGAAUAAGCAUCUCUUGCUGAAGCUCCAGCACAAGCUUGUGUUAUACGUAUCUGAUUGACAGCUCUUGAGUGAUGUAGCCAUGCAAGAGAUGCUAAGCUGAUCCCAGUGACUGGGAAGACUACUGUGUGAAGUCACCGAAUUUGAGGUUGAUAAGUGAUAGAACUCAGAUUUCAAUAUAGCGGGUUGGAUAAUUUUAUAUACUAUCCUGUACAACUGAUACAGAAAUGUCUCUGUCUCAGCUUCUGCUUUUCACUUUCUAUCAUUACAGAACACAUUUUUUUGAGCUUUUUAUUAAUGGAAUGUAUUUAUCUAAAGUAAACAGGCUGGUAUUUGACAGGUAUCUUGAGUUAAAUCCUAAUAUAGGCAUCCACGUGACACGGAGAUGCAUGAAUGCCUUUGUCUAUUGUGAUGAAGUUUUUCUCACCAUUAAGAUAGGCAUCAUGAAAAUCACACCAAACUGUAUAAGCUGCAGGUAGUGUAAGUAAUGCAUACGUGCACAUCAGUAGUAUUUGUGAGACUGCAAAAAUGUUCCUGGAUUUGAAUUUUCACACAGUGGUUUAAAUUUGUCGGAGAGCCAUAGUUUUAAUCUUUUCCUCUCCAUUUUUUCCCCCUUUGCUGCUUGAUUGUUUUUUAGGGGGCAAUGCUGGCACGGAAAUCUGAGUGGACAGAUAAGUUUUGAAACUGAGAUUGGCAGAAGGGAUUCAGUGGGAGUCUAAACAAGCUUGGCUAACUCCUGCAGUAGUGCCUUCAAGUUGAAAUGAAGGCAAUUUAAACAGAAGGUUUCCUAUAACAUUUUCUGUGUUGUUAGGUUUGCUUAAUUUAUCAGCUGUGGUAUUCACACAGAUUCAAAUUGUAGUAGAUUUAAGAUACUGUGCUUCCAAAACAGUUUGUUAAGUAAAAUUAUUAAUAGGUGUGAAGUAAAAGGAAAAAAAUACAUUAAACAAAUGUCCUCUGUAAGAAUUUUGUCCCUUCCUUUUUAAGUGAAUGUUCUUACAGUUGUAAUACUUCUUUUUUGCAGCCAUUUUUUGAUGAGCAUCAAAUGCAGCCUAGAAGAUUAAAUGGUUCUUCUAAAGGCUUAGGCUUUUUUGUUUGCUGUUUUGGUUUUUAUUUUCCUUAUUUGUCUUUGCUUUCCUUAUUUACUAACAAAAGGACGGAAGAGUGACUGACAUAUAUUACAAGUGAUGUUUUGGCAUUGUGAGUUUUGUUGUUUUUUAAUGUGAUGUCUUAAUGGAAACUACGGUAGCAUUUGGCUACCUUUCUUUUACUGUCGAGGAUCAGAAUCAGAAAUAGUUCUUGAUAAUGAGAGAGGAGUAGAAUCUCAAACUUGAAAUUAUGACGCAGAACCUUGAAUAGUUUUUUUCCAUAGCACCACAUCUGGUAGUACUGGUCAGAAAAGUGAAAACAGACCUUUUUGAAAGUAGAAAUGGGGCAAAAAUGGUGAUUGUUAGGUAAAAAGGAUAAUUUCUUCCUAUGAUAUUUUCGUGUGUUGUCUUAUUAAAUCCCAGUCUUGCUGUUCCUGAGUGUAUUAGAGGUGGCUGACAUAGGCUAAUGUGUAAGGAGCUCAGUGACUGGCAGUAUUAAGAGACCUCACCUAUGGGAAUGAAGAAGAUAGGAGCCAUCUUACAGUGCUGUCAGCCGGGAGGUUUUGGUGAGGUCUGAAGUGGAAGUGCAGGUUUCAGAAACCUGUGGUUUUGAGUAUCUGAGAAAAAAAAUUGUGUUAAUAUUUCAGAUUUAGGUGUAUUUUGAAGAAAGUCCUAUUAAAUACCAGCCUGUAAUACUGAACAUUAAUGUUAGCCAUUUAUUUGAUUGUUAGAGCAUGUGUUAAAGAGCUGCUGCUGCCCAUUUGAAGCCUAAUGUGUUUAUUAGAUGGUCUUUGCAGUGGCAUCUUGACGUGUCUUUUAGCUAAAAAAUUCAUGAGCAUUAUUGGCUUUCAGUCUGCAAAUGGAAUAUGCCUUCUUGUCACUAAUACACCACUCUAAAGCCAUUACAUAGAAGUAAGAGAAAAAAUAUUGUUGAGGAAGGAGCCUUCCACUUAAACAUUUGUUUAUAGUCUGCUGUGCUUUUCUGUAGACUGAGCAGAAAUACAAGUGGUAAGUGUCAGAGCCAGCGUUCAGUUCUCUUAUACAUUGGCCCAGUUGUGUUUUCUAAUAAAUUAUGUUCUAGCGUGUAGAGUUGAAGCACAAAGCAGCGUUUAGUAAAUAUUACUGUAAAUCUCACUUUAAUGUUGCCUCUAAUAGCCUCGCUUUCAAAUGAAUUUGUAUCUUUGAAGUGAUGAGUGCUAUUUUCAGAUAGAAAAGGCUACAGACAGAUAAACCAUAGGUGCAGAUCAGGUUUUAAUACAAGUGUCUAAGGAUAACCAUUGAGUAUUUCAACUUACUACUGCUACCUUCAUCGCAGAAACUGUCUUCUGUUUUCACUUUGUAGUAUGUGACUGGUGUAGAGCUACAAUGAUUGUAGGCAGUUUCAUCUACAGUGAAAGUUGAGGUGGAGUUUCGGGAAAACAAAAGGACGUACUUCUGGAUAAAUUACUUAGGAUUUUUAAUAUGAGGUUAACCUUGCCAACUUAGGUCCUGGCCAUCUUGCUUAUUUUGGCAGAAUGGACUUGUUUCUUUUGGGGUAUGUCCCAGUUCCAUGUGCUGAGUGAUUAUGGAUGUGUGUAAGAACCUGACUGUAGAACAUGUUGCUUGCUUAAGCCAAGCUAUGUAUGAAGAACAAUGGUUUAAUAUGUCUUUACCCUGUUUGCUCUGUUGAACUUUUUAGUGGUGGAUAUCUUACCUUAAUUUAAUUUUAGUAGACAAUGCAAUCUUUUUUUUUUUCCCCCUCCUUUUAUUUCCCUUGGUUUUCAUCUCUGUUUUUUUACUCAUUUCCAAAGCCACACGUCUCUGAAUUUGUCAGAACAGCAAUGCAAGGGACAGUCAGUGCCCAAGGAGUCCAAGCAUCCUCAGACACAUGCGGAGUUGUGCAGGCACAGGCGGGCUCCCUCGCCUGGUGGCAGUUCUUACACUUGCUCAGUGGCAAAUGCUGGGAAUCAAAGCAUAUUUCACACCACCCUCGUGGAUUGCUGCUGCUCACAAAUAAAAGGUUGUCCUUAGGCUACAGUGGCCACAGACUCUGGUCUAGGAUCUUAUCCUAUCCUUGACAGUGACUUCCUUUUCAGGCCUGUGAAAGUUGCUAGCAAGUGCUUACCAUUAUUGCCUUCUUCAAAGGAGCUGAAAAUUACAGCGUAUGCCAGUGUUAAGUAUUUUCAGAUUGAGGAAUGCACUGAAUGAAAAAGAGUGUAUAAGCAAGAAAAAAUGUGAAGAAUCACGAGUUGCAUGUGACUUCCAACUUUGCUGUGGCUUCUACCAAAAUUAGCGGUACACAGGGAGCAUCAGUAAUAUUGAAACUGAGACUGAAAGCUUCUAAUCAUGAGAACUUAACAGGAAAAAAGAAUAUAAUGGACGUAUGUUUCAGUUAGUAAUUAACCACAGAAAUAUGAGCUGUUUAUGUUGGUGAAUUGGGCAGUUGGAGAAAAUUUCAGCCAAAAUUUUCAUUGAGCUGUAAUUUCUUUGUCCAGGAAGCUGAGUAUUUCUUUGCUGUUUACUACUCAGCAAAACAGUAACUUGAAUAAGUUGCUUCUAUGUGUAGCAACUGUGUCUACACUAACUGUAUGUAUGCUGGCAGGGUAGCAUUAUGAUACUUCUACCUGAUUGCCUGCUAUAGGGUACGUUACCUUUUGUUUGCUACUUUUCAGAUUGAAAUAGCGGCUUUGAAGGUGUAAUCCUCAUUCAUUCUUUAACUGCAUUUGUUGGGCUUACAAUAAAUCUGUCAGUUUAACAGGCCCCAUUUGGAAGAUGGCCUGCACUGAUAAGAGAUAAAAAUGCACACAAUCAUCUUCUACAUUAACUCUGGAUGAUUAACUGGAUUCAUUGAUGCCGAGGAUCUGUGCUUGAAGGUUUACUCUAUAUAUCAUGCUCCUUGAUGGCAUUUAUUAAGACUAUUCUCUUGUAUAGUACCGUGUUUACUAUUGCUUCAUAAUCAGGUUGAAAAGUCUCUCUGUGUAUUCUAACUUAGAGCAGUUGCCGGUAGAGGAUGUGAAGGCGGAUGUGCUGCCACAAUGAGAGCAGAAACUCUUGUUUUGUUACUGAUAACAAGAAAAACAUGAAUUGAAACCUCUUUCUGGCUCUCUUUUCAAUCUCCCAACAUCUGUUGGAAACUGGAUAGGUCUCAAUGACUGUCAUUACUAACGUACACCGUCCAAGAGAUCGUUCAAUUAAUUUUCUGUGCUGUGAUUUACAUUUAACAAUUGGAAAGAUUAGACCGAAAUAUUUUUAAGUAUAAAUGCAAAGUGAGUAAUUACUUACCAGAGGUGUCCCAAACAGGACAUCUGUUUGAGCCUAGAUUUAGUUCUUAGGUAUUUUUAGUAAUAAUAAUGCUGUUUCUCUAAUUAUCUACUUCCUUGUAUAAAAAUGGUGCAGUGAACGUAUUUAUCUUUCCAUUGCCCUGUUGUUCCUCAUUGAUGCCCAGUGGAAUUGAAACUUGAGUGGUAUCUGAGUCAGCAUUAGAAGUUGAGCUCUUGGUUAUUGUUGCGAGGGUUUUUGAUAGCGCAAAUGGAAAUAUAUAUAUAUAUAUUUCAUCUACACGCAAAUACAUUUUCAGCUAUUUAUAUAUAUAUAGUUGAAAAAUCUGCUACUGCCAGUGAAGGCAAAAUAUUAAUUCCACAGUGAGAUAUCAGGUUUGUAUUUUGGAGUGCAGUUCAACUUCCAAACUUUUUAUACCGUAAAAACAAGAGCGCCUUAUCUUGCAUGACAGUUAAUUCUACAGGACAUUCAUUUUAAUUCCCCGUUGUACAACAGUUUCUUUGAAAUAAAUAUUGUGUCAAUUCAUUGUCUGACAUGCCAUCUUGUAAUUUUUUCGUUAACAGCAGUAUUUGUCCUGCUCUCUGUUGUCUAUUCAGAAAUUACUUCUGUUUUCGUUCUUACUAAUUCCCAGUUUGACUUAAUUCUUUUCCUAGUAAAUACCAGGCUAAACAAUCAUUACCCACUUUUUCUUGAUUUUUGCUGCAGUUUGUUUCGGAAGACGGAUGGUAGAGCUGAUAUUUCAUUUCAGUUUCUCCCGAAACACUAAAUGAAUUGAAUUGCUGUAUUUCUUUAUCUUUCUUCCUGGAAAUUCCUGCAAAGAUGUGUAAGAAGAUAAGCGAGAUCAAUGCUGCUUUCUAAUCUGAAGUAGUUGCCUAUAGGAGAAGUUUAUUGGAGUAAAACUUUGAGCCUCUCACUUGUCAUUCUGCUCUCAGUGGCUUCAGUUUUGAAUUUUCAUGUUUCCUAGAAAAAUUUAGUCUUCAGGUUUGGAAGCAGUAUUUUGUAGUCUGAGAAAGUUAUUCGGUGUGUUUCAGGGGAGACUGGUUAGGAGAACCUUGAAAGUUCCUGUAUCAUCCUGUUAAUAUCUAAAUUUGUACAGUCACAGGUUUAUUGCUAAUACUGAAGAACCAAGAAAGUUCGAGGAAGUGUAAAUUAAUUAAGAGGGCAGCACCUAGAAAACCACUAUAAGCAGUUUAGCUGAUCUUCACCCACAAAUGUUUAUUUUUAUGUUUAGAUCCUUAAAUUCUAAAUUCAUUAGAUUUUUACCAUUUUCACUUGAAAAAUUCCUAGAUGUCUGCUCUUGUAGUUCUGCUUGUCCCAAGAAGUACUCUUUUCUGAAAAAUGGGGCCUUAGUUUCUUGCUUUGCUUCACUGAAGUUACGGAGGUACCUGGACCUCCCAGAGGUCUUCAUCUGGUAGCACACAUAGAUCUGGAACAUGAAUUAGCUCACAAAAAAAACCCCAACCUUAAAUAGCUGAUUUUUGUCGUUGUUGUUUUAUGGUUGUUUUUUGUUUGUUUGUUUUUUGUUUCAAAACAAAUGAUGAAAUGGGGUAGAUUCUCACCUUUUUGGCUGUGCUCAACCUUCUAGAGUCAUUGCUGAGAAGGAAGAUGGGGUGGCUGCCCUCUCAGCCCAAGGGACUCAAACCUUAAUCCCUUGCUUCUUAAAGCAAUGUUCAAACUCCUUACCUAUGAGUUGAAUACAUGUUUAAAGAUUUCUACUGCACUGCGAGAGUUAAUUAAUUGACUUGGCUUCAUAAAUAUCCAGCUCCAGCAAGCUGAUAGCCUAUCACCUCAGGGGGGCUGUUCUGCAUGAUUAAAAAUAUAGGCUUGAAAUCCCUCUGCAAAGAGGGAACUGAAUCUCCAUCUCUGUUGCUGUUGGUAUUUAGCAUUAUGGAAGAGCACUGCUGCAGAUUUAUCCAUGUUUUUUAACAGGUGAUUCUUCCUCGUUUGUCCUAAUUCAGGAUAAUUCAGCAUUUUGGCUUUUAAAUCGCAAGAGAACAGUGGGAAUUUAUUUACUCCAGGCAGACUCUGAUCUCCCUAGGGAUCUAUACUCCUAGUAUAUGUUUGGGUUCACAGCCUUUUGAUUUUAGUGCUCUGUACUGGAUAGUGCUAAGUGAUUUUCAUUUUGGCUUGUGAGAUUUUUUUUUUUUACACUGCCGUAGUAUCAUCUAUCUGGCUCUCCAGUUUUCAAGGCACCUAGCUCAGGAUUUUGCAUCCUGCUCUGGAGCACAGACACCUAGCAUUCAGGAACUGUGGAGCUUAUAGAGAUCUGUGAGGUAUCGAAUGCAAUUUUUAGUGUAGACAUAAGGAGAGCAGAAGACACUGUAGUGGGUGGUAGAUUUCCAGAAAAACUUUGUGAUGAGUAAAAAGGAAAAGGUAACUCAUUCUAAGAACAGACUGACAGUGAUGCUGAGAAAAAGAUGUUUUGGCCCGUAAAUGCAAAUAAAACAAAUGAUAAUUAAAAAUAAUAAUAAUAAAUAAGUAAAAACUGCUUGGAAUGACCACCUGCAUUUAACAUGGGGAGAUGUUAAUUUCGUAAUAAUGGUACCACUUUUGUUCCCUUUAAAUACAGAAAGAUGGAAGUUCAGAUGUUUAUGGUGGGACAUUAAUUUUAACAUGUCCUCCAGAGGAUGAUACUGGGUAGGUAGGAAAUUCCUACAGAACAGCAUGGGCAUAAGUGGAAGAAGAAUUAAGCUGUAUAUUGGUGGAGCUACUGGCGAAACCUGGGGUCUAGCAAAAAUAAAGCUCCUUUUGAAGUAAGCCCAACAGAUUAGAUAGAAUAACUGUGGAUAUCUGUUCCUGUUCCGCUAGGGAGGAAAGGGGACUGAAGGGAGGUGUUCCUCCUAAAUGUGAUGGAAUGCUCAGCAGAUUUUUGUGAGUCUCCAUGCUUGCUUUUCUUUAGAAAAACACCCAACAGAUUAACAUUUCUCAGGUAAUAUUCGGGAAGCAUAAGAAAUGAAGGAAUUCCCCAACCCAAUUUUCUUCUGAAAUUUAGACCACAAUCUGAGACUUGCUCGGAGAUGAGAUGAUCUCUGGAAUGUACGGCUUUCAUCAUGCUGAUGAUUUUUUUUUUUCUCACGAUGGUGACCAAAAAAUUUAGUCUUUGAAGCAAAGCCAUCCUGAGAGUCUGGGACUGCGAGUUCCUCACAACUCUUCUGUAACUGUUGUCACAAUUUUCUUUACACAAUCGUACAAUAUCACGAGUUGAAAGGCACCCACAGUGAUCACUGAGUACAACUCCCGGCUCCACACAGCACCACCCAAAAAUCAGACCACAUAACUGAGACCGUUGUCCAAACGCUCCUUGAACUCUGGCAGCUCAGUGCCGUGACCACUGCCCUGGGGAGCCUGUUCCAUGCCCGAUCACACUCUCAUGUGGACAAUCUUUUCCUAACACCCAGCCACCUCCCCUGACACAGCUCUGUGCUAUUCCCUGGGGUUCUGUCGCUGUCACCAGAGUGCAGAGCUCAGCGCUGCCCCUCUGCUCCUCACCCCAGUGCUUGAGAUGCAGCCGCACAGCGCGGUGUAGAGCCAGACAGUGCCUCCCUCACUCAGUGGCAGUGCUGGGCCUGUUGCAUCUGAUGGUACGGGUGGCAUUCCUGGCUGACAGAGCACACUGCUGACUCAGAUUCAACAUGGCUUCAACAAGAACCUCCCCCAGAUCCCUUUCCGUGGGGCUGUUCUCCAGUAUCUCAUCCCCUGGUCUGUACAUACAGCCAGGGUUGCCCUGUCCAGGUACAGAAUUUGGCACUCACUCUUAAGAGUAUAUUUCCUCUUCCUUGGUUCUCUACGGUUGCAUACUCAUUCAAUUGCCUAUUUUCAAGGAAGUGCUUAGCUUUUUACCAACCAGACAAAUGUAUACAUCUAGUUUUGCAUUUAGAUAAGUAAGAUUGACAUGAGCGUCUGAUUAUAAAUCAGAUAAGAUUCAUGGUUGUCAAGGAGCAGUGAGUGUGUCACAAGUUACAUUGGAGGCUUCAGCAGAUGCUUUGCUCUCUGCAGCAAGGUCAGAUUUGGUGUGGUGCUGGGAAUGCCCUGUGAGGUGUAGGUUGACUAUUGUGGCAGGUGCUCUCUUGGAAAGCUCAGGUCUGCUCUGGAAAUAGAAUCAUAGAAUCACCAAGGUUGGAGAAGACCUCUAGGAUCAGCUAGUCCAACCGCCCACCUACCACCACAAUUGUCCACUAAACCAUACUCCUCAGUUGCUGCAGACCAGACCUUCUUGCUCUUCUUGAAGUAGGUUGUUCUCAACAGAUUGGUGGUAUAUGAAUACGUGGAUAUAUACUUAUAUACUAACAGGAUCUGGUACCAACCACGUACAAGGAGCUAUACAGUUCAGGGUUGAUCUAUUUUUUUCAUGAAAUCCAAUUGGUAUCUAGAAAAUCAGUGCCACUUUCUCCUCAAACUGUUCUGGUUUUUUGUUUGUUUUUGUUUUUUAAAUAAGUGAAUAGAACUAUAUCAGUAUAUAGUUACAACUAUGACUAUAUCUCUGCAGACCUGCCUAGAUGUCAGCCUUCAGACUGUGCCAUUAUAUUCAUUCAGCCUGCACCUUGGGAAAAUGAAGAUUUAUAGUAUGAACCAACACUUUUAAUACCAACAUCUAAAAAGAGAAAAUGAAAAAGAGAAGGAUACUGCAAUUC